Molecule: ribosomal RNA, 253 nt
Filed under: uncultured bacterium
Lineage: Bacteria
Description: partial 16S ribosomal RNA
Rfam family: Bacterial small subunit ribosomal RNA
Source: RNAcentral
UACGUAGGGUGCGAGCGUUGUCCGGAAUUAUUGGGCGUAAAGAGCUUGUAGGCGGUUUGUCGCGUCUGCUGUGAAAAUCCGGGGCUCAACCCCGGACUUGCAGUGGGUACGGGCAGACUAGAGUGUGGUAGGGGAGACUGGAAUCCCUGGUGUAGCGGUGAAAUGCGCAGAUAUCAGGAGGAACACCGGUGGCGAAGGCGGGUCUCUGGGCCGAUACUGACGCUGAGGAGCGAAAGCGUGGGGAGCGAACAGG